UGCAUCGGCCGGGAAUCGAACCCGGGCGGCCCGCGUGGCAGGCGAGCAUUCUACCACUAAGCCACCGAUGC
This 71-nucleotide transfer RNA is filed under the name Cordylochernes scorpioides. Its description in RNAcentral is "tRNA-Gly". The record is from RNAcentral. Lineage: Eukaryota; Metazoa; Arthropoda; Arachnida; Pseudoscorpiones; Chernetidae.